CCAUGAACUAAUAUGUAAAGGCAAGCUAUGCAGCAAAGAAUUCAUUAAAGGAUUCCUUGCUGCACUCCCACUUCAAGAACUGCAGUGUAACAUCGAAAAGGGAAUAGCUGACAAAGCUCCACUCCAUCGUCUCCUGCAAAUUGAGUUCCAAUACAUGACUCCAUGCCAUAAGCGCUCACCAAGCAUAGAAAUAAGGUCCUAAUGGAUCAACCCUGAAGUAGUAGUGGACAAUAACAAGCCUUGCAGUGAAAGAGGGCCAAAAGUUCACAAAAAUUAUGGUAUUUCAUCCAGUAAUAAUGUUCACCAUUACCCACCGUGUAAUACAAUUAUACAAAAACUUGUUUCUCAUACUGCCAUUAAGGCAUUAGUCAUGCAUUAUUCUUCUAACAUUUUAAAAGUUCUGUAACGAAACCAUUGUGACAAUGGUUUUUUGUUCUUCAUGCAAUCCACAGCUGAAACAAAACCAAAUAUUUUGUGGAGUUUCAAAUUCUUCUGUCCUCAAUAGAAAAAAUAGCAAAAUAAAUUUGAAAAGAGAAGACAACCAGCAUAUAUGCUACAGCUGCUUCAAGAUUCCUCAAGAAACAGGUGUCGGUGAAACUAGAGCAGCUUACAACAUAACUUUAAUUUCAGUGCAUAAGCUUUCCCAGGAGGCACGGGAUAAUCUAAUUAACUUCAAUCUUCAUGAAAAAAAAGGAGUAGAAUAAAGGGCUUUAAACUAAUUAGAAGUAUACUUAUCAAGUCGUCGCCUAGGCGACACUUAGGCGUCCAGUCGGUGCAUUUUGGGAAGGCGUCUAGGCGACUUGGUGAAGGGGAGAAAGUCGAGCUCUCAGAUGUCGAAGGUGACGACUUGGACAACUUUGUGGCGACUCGGACGACUAGAUUGCUAAGCAGUCGACUUGGACAGGGUUUGACCCGAAGCUUAACUCGAUUAAAAAAAAUAAGUUCGAUCAGUCUAAAACCUAAUCGAUCGAUCAGUCGCAAACUUACAAUAACCCAAUAACAAAGGGAGAAAGGGGAGAGAGGCAGAGAGCAAGAACAAGAGCAAAACAGCAGCAUGGAGGGGACUCACCGACGACGACUCCGGCAGCUCGCGACUUCGGCCUCCACUCCGGCAUGUUGCUUCUUCUUCUAUUCUUCUUCUCUCCUAACUUCUCUUCUUCGUCGUCUUCUUCGUCGUGACUUCAAACUCUGUUGGCUAGACUUCUUCGGACUCUGUUGGCUAGACUUUAAAAUUUUAGUAAUGUUAUACGUGCCUCUAGAUAAAGUGC
Molecule: long non-coding RNA, 1268 nt
Filed under: Panax ginseng (ginseng)
Lineage: Eukaryota; Viridiplantae; Streptophyta; Magnoliopsida; Apiales; Araliaceae
Description: long non-coding RNA (PGIN_LNC011238)
Source: RNAcentral